GAGCAGGGAAACGAAGAUGGAAAGAGUCCUGAAGGCAGAGGCUACAGUCAAGCAAAGACGCCACAGGGAUUUGAACCCUGUCCUGGAAACCAGGAGUGCCAAUCACUAGCAUCUUUUGCUUUUUU
Ceratotherium simum simum (southern white rhinoceros) is the source of this 125-nucleotide non-coding RNA. Lineage: Eukaryota; Metazoa; Chordata; Mammalia; Perissodactyla; Rhinocerotidae. The record is from RefSeq and is a predicted model, not a curated record.